This 2669-nucleotide long non-coding RNA is filed under the name Anolis carolinensis (green anole). RNAcentral's name for it is "lncRNA (ENSACAG00000031816.2)". The record is from RNAcentral. Lineage: Eukaryota; Metazoa; Chordata; Lepidosauria; Squamata; Anolidae.
GGAGGGCUUGGUAAAAAUGACUUGUCCUCCCACUACUUUUUCAAGCAAGAACAUCUCAUGAGUGGAAUUCAACUCAUAGGAACUCUGGAGCCAAUCCAUAUAAAACCUUUGCUAGAACUUAGCUUCCUACAAAAUAUGAUGGUGCUGUUAGCAUUUUAAAAGUACAUCAAUUACAAUUUUCUUUCAAUUUGCUACUCUCUGAAUGGUUUGUGACUUAAUUGUAACAAAAUUCUAUUGGACAAGCCUUCAUUGAGUGCAUUAGAUAGAUUUGUAGUGACUGUGCUGCUGGGUUUUUUUUAAGUGUUACAGAUAAUCCUCUGCCAUCUGUCUUUAUUUUGUUAACCACUCAACUAGAGACAUAUUUAUGAAGAAAUAACUGCAACACUUCUUAUAAGGAAAAUCUGGGAGAAGUGGGAAAAAAAGAUCUUCACAGAAAUGCACUCACGUUCCAAACAGUUCAAUUUUACUAUGUACAUGCAUAGUUGCUCCUUUUCAGUUAGAAGCUCACAAGGAAAGCUUUUAAUCAAAAUGUCUGUGAACAUGGCAACAGGAACUUGGGCUCAUGAGAGAGAGGGUUCAGGGAGAGAAAUUGGUCCCUGUCUGCUAUGGAGUUACUUGUCCCUGCUUUAGAUUAUGUCAUCUUCCACUUACAGCCUUUCCAUGCUUUCUACUACUGCUUCUGUAUUUCUCCUGCAGGAAACUUGUAGAGAACUGAAAGCUGAAACAGCUGAACAGCAUUUUCUGACUGAUACCAUGAGAAGUAAUCUGCCUGGAACAGGGAUAUAAAAAUAAAUCCCCGAAGAGAAAUAGUGUCUCAACAUAUCACGAUACAUUGUAGAAAAGAAAAGAAAGGCCAACUGCAGUGAGAUGUUUUUCAUAUUUUGGAAAGUUUUUGGAGAAACGUCGAGUGAGAGGAAGCUGAAGUGGUCUAUUAGAUGGAGGAGUGCUAUUCAAAAGAAAUUUCAAGUGAGACUCUACUGUAUGACAUUGGAGAUACAUUUGAACUUUGGUAUUUUUAUUUUGAAAUUACAAAUUAUUGACAAAAAAGAUAAGCAGACAUAUAUGGCAGAACAUUAGCUUUAAGAGUUCCUUGUACAAACAUUUUAAACUACAAUAUCAGUGUAGGUAUGGGACUGGUAUUUGUGGUUUCAUUUAUCCAAGUUUCACAAAAUAUGUUCUCUUUCAGAAUUGUUCAGAUCCUCCAGUGUGACUCUAUGGUAUUCUUGGGCUGGAAGUGCUUCAUUUCAAUAUUACCACUGGUUUCAUGUAUCCACAUGAAGUCUGGGUAUGCCCCUGUGGAUACAGAGAUACCAUAGAAUCAUAGAAUCAUAGAGUUGGAAAAGACCUCAUGGGACAUCCAGUCUAACUCCCUGCCAAGAAGCAGGAAAUCACAUUCAAAUUCAUACCGUGAAGGAGAGUGCAUGUGUGCAGUGUUAGUUAUUACUAUUAUUUAUUUAUUUAUAUGCUGCUUUUUCUCUUAAGAGAAACCCAGAGUGGUGAUUGACCCUAAUGGCUAUAAAAAUAAAUUUUAUUAUAGGAAUUUCAUUAGAGAUAUGGAAGUUGUCUAAAGGUGCUAAGUUAAGCUGGAAUAAAAGGACAAAGUUAAUAUCACCUUUGGAGCAGUGGAAGAGCAAAAAGAAGCUGGGAAGAAGAAGUGGAAUUGUCUUUAAGAAUAUCAGUCUAGAGGUCUUAGGAUAGGUGUAUAAGACAUGAGAUUUUAGGUUAUUGAAACAUUAAUUCAUUUUCUCAGAGCUACACCCACUAAGACACACUUACCUUUAAACAGAGCGUGUUGUUGCAUUUCCAACAUACGUCAAUUAACCAAGCAGGUGUGUUUUGAAGCAUUACUGUUUUAAUUUAAUUUGUAUUUAAUAGUCUUAUCUUGGAAUCUAAGCAGUAUCAGAAGGGCUUUUGCAUGGAUAGGAGAACACCAAUGUGCAUUAGGUACUAUAGGCUAUAUUUCAGAGGAAGGAACUGACAAAACCACCUCUGUGUAUUUGUUGGUUAAGAAAACCCUAUGAAAUUCAUGAGGUCACCAUAAGUUGGCAGGUGACUUGAAGGCACACUCUCUCACACACAUACUUUCCCAGCUCAGAUGUUACUGCUUUGUUUACAGCAGACACACUGCUGCAGCUCAAUAUCAAAAGUAUGUGCUAAUCCAGUCCUUCACCAUCUUCUCAAUACCAAUGUUAUUGUACAUUACCAGCAAGCUGACUUCAACUUGGGUUGAGCCUAAAAAGCUAAACAGAGGUUAAAAGGGAAGUGGGUAGUUUUUAAAAAACUUAAAAGGAACUUCUUUGCCAAAGACUUUUGUUGAUAGAAUUAUGCAUGCAUGUGAAGAAUUAGAAGAAAUUGGCCCUAUGUGGGACUCGAAUUUUGCUCUACAAUGCUUAUAGAUUUUAGCAUGCAGAGUUACAGAUCUGAAAACCCUUCAUGUAAGCUGCAGAAAUCUUUGUCCUUUCCAGAUAUGCAGAAGGACCUCUGAAUAUGUUAUCUGGCAGUUUCACUAGAACUUUGGAGACCAGGGAUCAAAUACUUUUUGACCCACCGGAUGGUCUUCAGCAAGUGAUAUUCUCCUAGUUUCAAAGGAAGACAACGGCAAACUCCUUUGAACAUACCUUAUCAAGAAAACACUGUGUUAGGUUCACUUUAGGAUCACAACGAGCUGG